GGGAGUUCUUAUGUUUUGGUUUUGUAGCAGAUUAUGUAAAAUCUCAAUCAUAGAUGGUUUAAUGUAAUCAAUCUGUUGGGUUGUGUCAAAAAACUUUAGAUGGACGAUUAUGUAAAUUGAGUCGAACUUCAAAUAGGUUUCGGAUCAUUAAUUUCUUCAAAAAUUGUAAAUUUUUUUCCCACAUAAAGUAGAUGUCAUUAGAGUGCGCAGCGCGCAUUCAUUUAAAUCUUUUUAAAGACGACCCCAUUGGGUUUCUAACAAGAAGGAUUAAUGUUGAACCUCAGC
Molecule: long non-coding RNA, 285 nt
Filed under: Olea europaea (common olive)
Lineage: Eukaryota; Viridiplantae; Streptophyta; Magnoliopsida; Lamiales; Oleaceae
Description: long non-coding RNA (OEUR_LNC012107)
Source: RNAcentral